This is a small nucleolar RNA of Megalops cyprinoides (Indo-Pacific tarpon), 78 nucleotides long. RefSeq annotates it as small nucleolar RNA SNORD26. The transcript has a single exon. NCBI's taxonomy places the organism in Eukaryota, Metazoa, Chordata, Actinopteri, Elopiformes, Megalopidae. The record is from RefSeq and is a predicted model, not a curated record.
CUACGGUGAUGAUCACUAGAACUCUCUCUUACUGAAUCCACACCUUUGAAGAAAUUCCUUUACCAGAUUCUGAGUAGC